Molecule: ribosomal RNA, 454 nt
Filed under: Staphylococcus aureus
Lineage: Bacteria; Bacillati; Bacillota; Bacilli; Caryophanales; Staphylococcaceae
Description: bacterial SSU rRNA
Rfam family: Bacterial small subunit ribosomal RNA
Source: RNAcentral
CUGAUGUUAGCGGCGGACGGGUGAGUAACACGUGGAUAACCUACCUAUAAGACUGGGAUAACUUCGGGAAACCGGAGCUAAUACCGGAUAAUAUUUUGAACCGCAUGGUUCAAAAGUGAAAGACGGUCUUGCUGUCACUUAUAGAUGGAUCCGCGCUGCAUUAGCUAGUUGGUAAGGUAACGGCUUACCAAGGCAACGAUGCAUAGCCGACCUGAGAGGGUGAUCGGCCACACUGGAACUGAGACACGGUCCAGACUCCUACGGGAGGCAGCAGUAGGGAAUCUUCCGCAAUGGGCGAAAGCCUGACGGAGCAACGCCGCGUGAGUGAUGAAGGUCUUCGGAUCGUAAAACUCUGUUAUUAGGGAAGAACAUAUGUGUAAGUAACUGUGCACAUCUUGACGGUACCUAAUCAGAAAGCCACGGCUAACUACGUGCCAGCAGCCGCGGUAAUACG